CCUACGGGGGGCUGCAGUAAGGAAUAUUGGUCAAUGGAGGAAACUCUGAACCAGCCAUCCCGCGUGAAGGAUGAAGGGGCUCUGCCUUGUAAACUUCUUUUGUCUGGGGCGAAAAAGCUCGAUUUAUCGAGAACUGACGGUACCAGAAGAAUAAGCACCGGCUAACUCCGUGCCAGCAGCCGCGGUAAUACGGCGGGUGCAAGCGUUAUCCGGAAUCACUGGGGCGAAGGGGUCCUUGUAAGUCAGUGGUGAAAGGCUGUGGCUUAACCAUGGAAUUGCCAUUGAUACUGCAGAGCUUGAAUGAGGUUGAGGGUGGCGGAAUGUGAAAUGUAGCGGUGAAAUGCUUAGAUAUGUCAUGGAACACCGAUUGCGAAGGCAGCUGACUGGACCUAGAUUGACGCUGAGGCACGAAAGCGUGGGGAGCGAACAGGAUUAGAUACCCUGGUAGUC
Molecule: ribosomal RNA, 450 nt
Filed under: uncultured bacterium
Lineage: Bacteria
Description: partial 16S ribosomal RNA
Rfam family: Bacterial small subunit ribosomal RNA
Source: RNAcentral